This 314-nucleotide long non-coding RNA is filed under the name Dasypus novemcinctus (nine-banded armadillo). RNAcentral's name for it is "lncRNA (ENSDNOG00000051941.1)". Lineage: Eukaryota; Metazoa; Chordata; Mammalia; Cingulata; Dasypodidae. The record is from RNAcentral.
AGCAAUCUUUUCACUGGGAGGGACAGGCAAUAAUGACUAACAUUUCUGCAGCCAUGCCUGUUCUGCUUCUCUGAGAUUUCCUCCUCUGCAGCAAUGGGGUUACUGAGGUCAAGCGGGGAAAUGUGCAUUCAGAUCCAUUACAGGAGUCAACCAUCACCAUGGACAGAGUCAGCGAAAAAGAGAGCAAUGGAACAGAGAAAAAAAAAAGGAAGAUGUGGCAGACUAUUCAAGUCAAAAGCAGGUAAGACAUAGAGUUAAAACUAUAAAUUGGAUUAGUAGCUAAAGGACUCAUGUGGUUUGAAGAUAUAUUUUUG